Molecule: ribosomal RNA, 518 nt
Filed under: uncultured bacterium
Lineage: Bacteria
Description: bacterial SSU rRNA
Rfam family: Bacterial small subunit ribosomal RNA
Source: RNAcentral
AGGGUUCGAUUCUGGCUCAGGAUGAACGCUAGCGACAGGCUUAACACAUGCAAGUCGAGGGGCAGCAUAAAAGUAGCAAUACUUGGUGGCGACCGGCGCACGGGUGAGUAACGCGUAUGCAACCUACCUAUCGAGAGGGGAAUAACCCGGCGAAAGUCGGACUAAUACCGCAUAAAACAGGGACACCGCAUGGUGAUAUUUGUUAAAGAAAUUCGCUGAUAGAUGGGCAUGCGUUCCAUUAGGUAGUUGGUGAGGUAACGGCUCACCAAGCCGACGAUGGAUAGGGGAACUGAGAGGUUGGUCCCCCACACUGGUACUGAGACACGGACCAGACUCCUACGGGAGGCAGCAGUGAGGAAUAUUGGUCAAUGGGCGAGAGCCUGAACCAGCCAAGUCGCGUGAAGGAAGAAGGAUCUAUGGUUCGUAAACUUCUUUUGCAGGGGAAUAAAGUGCAGGACGUGUCCUGUUUUGUAUGUACCCUGAGAAUAAGGAUCGGCUAACUCCGUGCCAGCCGCCGC